Vigna umbellata (rice bean) is the source of this 831-nucleotide non-coding RNA. The record is from RefSeq and is a predicted model, not a curated record. NCBI's taxonomy places the organism in Eukaryota, Viridiplantae, Streptophyta, Magnoliopsida, Fabales, Fabaceae.
GAAAAAAAAAAAGAUACAAAAGGAAAAAACAAAUUCUAAGAUUUUAGGGGUAUGAUAAACGCACUAGAGGGUUUUUUUAGCAUUGGAAGCAGUGCUUAAGGAAGGUGGGAGAAAGGUCCAAGCUUUAAAGAAGAGAUGGCGCACAUCACAAACCUUCCGAUGAUGCCACUCAUUCCUACCACUUCUUCAAAUGAAAUCAAAGAAAUCGCAUUUAAGACUGCACCUUCGGCUUCCAAGCUCCAAAUCAAGUGCUUCCUAGAAUCCUUCUAUGGCUUGGAGGUCCAAAAGGUGCGAACUCUUAUCAUGAAGGGCAAGAAGAAGCGUUACGCGGGUUCCUUGGUCGCAAAACCUGAUUACAAGAAGGCCUAUGUCACCCUCAAGAACCCGCUUUCUUCCUCCCACAACCCUUUCCCCUUUGCUUUCACCCUCCAAGACAACAAGAAUGAGAAGACGUUGACCACUCACAGCUAGAAGAUCAUUCACCUCAGCGUCUUCCAACACCAUACUCACUCUCUUUUCAAGUUCUGUUGUGAGAGCUGGUGAGACAGAAUACAUCAUGGCCAUCUUUAGCAACUGCAACAUGAACUUACAUGAGACUGCAUCUGGCUGAGGAGGAAUAAUGCUUAUCAGGGUUUCAAUAAUUGUCUUUUGCUCCUUGCUGUGCCCACUGCUCUCUUUCUUCUUCCCACUAAAAAUACUGAACUAAAUGAUCCUCAUAAAAUGAUCAAUGCGGAAGGUGGCCACAUCAUUGAACCACCAGCUUUCUUGAUUUGGCGCUGCAUCCUCACUUGUGUGAUCAUCUUUAGAAGCCUUCCACGCAAUGGAGUCGCA